Molecule: long non-coding RNA, 1065 nt
Organism: Aegilops tauschii subsp. strangulata
Lineage: Eukaryota; Viridiplantae; Streptophyta; Magnoliopsida; Poales; Poaceae
Source: RefSeq, a predicted model, not a curated record
GCGACGAUCCCUCGAGAAUGUCUUUAGCACUAAUGCAGUUUUCAUCUCCAUUACUCUCUUGCUCUUCGUUACAAUCACUUGCACUCCAAUUCUUUCUCACAAACAAUUUUUAACUUUCACCAUCACAACACUCUUCCUUGUUAUCAAAGAUAACUUGCAUAAACAUUGCGGUAAACCUCUAUAAAGCAAACACCAUUUCCUCAGCUCUUCAUGGGAUUGAUACUCUUACUUCAAAAGCCGCUAACCAGCCCCAUGCACUUGUAGGAGUCAUUAUACCAUUAUAUGCACUAACUAUAGCAAUACCUUAAAAGUUAUUAUUUUAUCCUGAAAGACUUCUAUGUGAAGCAAUUACUUAAGAUAAACCCACAAUUCUUAUUUGGGGAAUAGAAGUGUUCCUAUUCAAAGGAAUCUCAUAAAUGUCAAUUAGAUAAGGAUUAUGUCCACCUUAUCAACUCAUUAAUCAUUACUUAAUGGUUGCCAACAUAACAAAACAAAAUUACCAAUUCUAGUUUUUCAUAUACAAAGCUAACAAUAUAAAUAGACAUGUCUACCGAAUCCGGCCUCAUAGAUAUCAAGUUAUCAAUCCAACGCUGACCUUCUACGUCUCAAGUCGUCAAUCCAAGUAUACCCAUGGCACACAAGACGGCAUUAGUUCUUGUAUAUAUGUUCAUAUUAGUCGUCAUCUUCUGUUACAGUACAGAAGCUAGGUGUAACCAACACCGCUACAAACUUCCUGGUCGUUGUGAUGGUAUAAAAUGUUUGAAUUUUUGCAUAAAACAAAAGUACCAAGAUGGGACAUGCGGUUUUACUGGCAAUCCUGGUGAAAUUCUUUGCUACUGCAUUAGCUGCGAUGAUAAGACUUCAGUUGAUCAACUAGCGGUGCCACUAGAAGGGGACAAAAAUGGCGCCUGAAUAUGCAAUGUAUGAUGGACAAAUCACUAGUGAAAUAUUAGUGCUGUUAGUGAGAUUGACGCCUUUAGCAUGAAAAUAAAUUGUUGUUCUCUUAAAAAUGAUGUUGUCGUGACAGCAUCACUUCAAAGAUAAUAAAAAGAGAGAGGUUGUUUC